RNAcentral lists this ribosomal RNA (281 nucleotides) under uncultured bacterium. RNAcentral describes it as "partial 16S ribosomal RNA". It matches the Rfam family "Bacterial small subunit ribosomal RNA", at positions 28 to 310 of the family's 1533-position model. The record is from RNAcentral.
GAUGAACGCUAGCGGCAGGCCUAACACAUGCAAGUCGAGGGGUAUCCCGCUUUCGGGCGGGAGAGACCGGCGCACGGGUGCGUAUCGCGUAUGGAAUCUACCUUAUACAGGGGUAUAGCCCGGAGAAAUCCGGAUUAAUCCCCCAUGGUAUUGAUUUACGGCAUCGUAGAUCAAUUAAAGCAUUAGCGGUAUAAGAUGAUCAUGCGUCUUAUUAGCUAGUUGGUAUGGUAACGGCAUACCAAGGCAACGAUAAGUAGGGGUCCUGAGAGGGAGCUCCCCCA